RNAcentral lists this ribosomal RNA (490 nucleotides) under uncultured bacterium. RNAcentral describes it as "partial 16S ribosomal RNA". It matches the Rfam family "Bacterial small subunit ribosomal RNA", at positions 28 to 507 of the family's 1533-position model. The record is from RNAcentral.
AUUGAACGCUGGCGGCAGGCUUAACACAUGCAAGUCGAGCGGUAGCACAGGGGGGCUUGCCCCCUGGGUGUCGCGCGGCGGGGGGGUGUGUCAUGUCUGGGACCCUGCUUGAUGGAGGGGGAUACCUCGUGGAACCGGUGGCUAUUACCGCAUACCGUCGCAAGCGCAAAGAGGGGGAGCUUCGGGCCUCUUGCCAUCAGCUGUGCCCUGGUGGCAUUAGCUAGUAGGUGGGGUAAUGGCUCACCAAGGCGACGAUCCGUAGCUGGUCUGAGAGGAUGAACAGCCACACUGGAACUGAGACACGGUCCAGACUCCUACGGGAGGCAGCAGUGGGGAAUAUUGCACAAUGGGCGCAAGCCUGAUGCAGCCAUGCCGCGUGUGUGAAGAAGGCCUUCGGGUUGUAAAGCACUUUCAGCGAGGAGGAAGGUGGUGAGCUUAAUACGUGCAUCAAUUGACGGUACUCGAAGAAGAAGCACCGGCUAACUCCGUG